This 1056-nucleotide ribosomal RNA is filed under the name uncultured Hygrocybe. RNAcentral describes it as "eukaryotic LSU rRNA". The stretch from base 671 to 1056 matches the Rfam family "Eukaryotic large subunit ribosomal RNA", at positions 1 to 375 of the family's 3401-position model. Lineage: Eukaryota; Fungi; Basidiomycota; Agaricomycetes; Agaricales; Hygrophoraceae. The record is from RNAcentral.
AUUCUUGGUCAUUUAGAGGAAGUAAAAGUCGUAACAAGGUUUCCGUAGGUGAACCUGCGGAAGGAUCAUUAAUGAAACGCUCGGGGAUGUUGCUGGCCCUUUCUGCGAGGGGGGGCACGUGCACUCCUUGAACAUUCUGACCCCUUCACCCCCCUGUGCACCUUUUGUAGGCUUCAGAGGGACCACCCUUUGGGGCCUAUGUCAAUUACCUUACAAACUCUAGUCGAUCGAAUGUCCUGUAACAAGUAAAUCUGGAGCUUUCUAGGUUUAAAAGUAACCCAAUACAACUUUUAACAAUGGAUCUCUUGGCUCUCGCAUCGAUGAAGAACGCAGCGAAAUGCGAUACGUAAUGUGAAUUGCAGAAUUCCGUGAAUCAUCGAAUCUUUGAACGCACCUUGCGCCCCUUGGUAUUCCGAGGAGCAUGCCUAUUUGAGUGUCAUUGAAAUCUCAACUUGGCCCGAGUUUGCUCUCGGAGCUACAGCUUGGAUUUGGAGUGUGCUGGUCCCUUGUGGGGUUGGCUCCUCUGAAAUGCAUUAGCGCGACGAAAUCCUUUCAAGGGUUGGCCCUCGAAUGCGCUGUGGCAUUGAUAACACUUGUCUAUGUCUCACUGCUGGGGGUGUUCUCGCUUACAAUUGUCCUCGUCGUGGGGGACAAAGGCUCACCUUGACAAUUACCUCAAAUCAGGUAGGACUACCCGCUGAACUUAAGCAUAUCAAUAAGCGGAGGAAAAGAAACUAACAAGGAUUCCCCUAGUAACUGCGAGUGAAGCGGGAAAAGCUCAAAUUUAAAAUCUGGUGGUCCCUCGUUGGCUGCCCGAGUUGUAAUCUAGAGAAGUGCUUUCCGCGCUGGACCGUGUACAAGUCUCUUGGAACGGAGCGUCGUAGAGGGUGACAAUCCCGUCUUUGACACGGACUGCCAGGGCUUAUGUGAUGCGCUCUCGAAGAGUCGAGUUGUUUGGGAAUGCAGCUCAAAAUGGGUGGUAAAUUCCAUCUAAAGCUAAAUACGGGCGAGAGACCGAUAGCGAACAAGUACCGUGAGGGAAAGAUGAAAAGAAUC